RNAcentral lists this ribosomal RNA (247 nucleotides) under Clostridioides difficile. Its description in RNAcentral is "partial 23S ribosomal RNA". It matches the Rfam family "Bacterial large subunit ribosomal RNA", at positions 1116 to 1371 of the family's 2925-position model. Lineage: Bacteria; Bacillati; Bacillota; Clostridia; Peptostreptococcales; Peptostreptococcaceae. The record is from RNAcentral.
CACUCAUUCAAAGAGUGCGUAAUAGCUCACUGGUCGAGUGAUCCUGCGCCGAAGAUUUCCGGGGCUAAAACUUACUACCGAAGCUACGGCAUCAGUAAUGAUGGGUAGGGGAGCUUCCCAUACGGGUGGAAGCAUGACCGUAAGGACAUGUGGACAGUAUGGGAGUGAGAAUGUUGGCAUGAGUAGCGAGAUGUGGGUGAGAAUCCCACAGGCCGUAAACCCAAGGUUUCCAGGGGAAGGUUCGUCC